AAGUCGUAACAAGGUUUCCGUAGGUGAACCUGCGGAAGGAUCAUUAACACGUAUCCACGUACCCACCCACGUGCACCCGUUGUCCCUCCCUCGUACGCGGCAAGAAUCGUAAGGGCCCGAUCGGAUAGAGUAAUGGCUGGCCUCUCGAGGCCGGCCGCCGGUUGCGCCCCCACAGCUGCAUGCUUCACGGCGUGCAGCGAAGAUUGUAGUCGACGCGAGGCUUUUCUAUCUGGCGCUGUGCGACCCAACGCUCUGGUCGUGCCGCUGGAUUCAUACUAACAUUUUUCACAUCGAUAACUAGUUGACUAUUUUAUUGUUGGCCUCGGAGGCGUCAGCCGAUGGGGUCACACGUUUAUCUAUAUGAACGCAAAUACAACUCUAAGCUAUGGACCUCUAGGUUCUC
RNAcentral lists this unclassified non-coding RNA (403 nucleotides) under fungal sp. Its description in RNAcentral is "partial internal transcribed spacer region". The stretch from base 1 to 46 matches the Rfam family "Eukaryotic small subunit ribosomal RNA", at positions 1786 to 1831 of the family's 1831-position model. Lineage: Eukaryota; Fungi. The record is from RNAcentral.